RNAcentral lists this ribosomal RNA (773 nucleotides) under uncultured Neocallimastigales. RNAcentral describes it as "partial large subunit ribosomal RNA". It matches the Rfam family "Eukaryotic large subunit ribosomal RNA", at positions 24 to 633 of the family's 3401-position model. Lineage: Eukaryota; Fungi; Neocallimastigomycota; Neocallimastigomycetes; Neocallimastigales. The record is from RNAcentral.
UAUGUGAUCGUCUCUCGCAUAUCAAUAAGCGGAGGAAAAGAAACUAACAAGGAUUCCCCUAGUAACGGCGAGUGAAGCGGGAAGAGCUCAAAUUUGAAAUCAAGGGUUUUACCUUUACGAAUUGUAGUUUAAAGAAGUGUUUUCUGCUUGAAGGUUUUGGUAAAAGUUCUUUGGAAUAGGACAUCAUAGAGGGUGAGAAUCCCGUAUUUGACCAUUAUUUUCAGCUUUGUGAUACACUUUCAAAGAGUCGGAUUGUUUGGGAAUGCAGCCCAAAACGGGAGGUAAAUUUCUUCUAAGGCUAAAUAUUGGCGAGAGACCGAUAGCGAACAAGUACCGUGAGGGAAAGAUGAAAAGAACUUUGAAAAGAGAGUUAAAUAGUACGUGAAAUUGUCAAAAGGGAAGCGUUUAACACCAGUGUUGUUUUCUGAAAAUCAACCUCUGUUAGCUUUAUGCAUGUUUGUUUAGACCUAAUCAGCUAUCUUGCAUGUUCUAUUGUUUGCAGUGGUGCACUUUUCAGUUUACAGGUCAACAUCAGUUUUUUUUUACCGUAAAAAAGUUAAAGAAAGGUAGCUCAUGGCUCCGGUCGUGAGUGUUAUAGUCUUUUUCCUAUGCGGUAGGAGAGACUGAGGUCUGCAGUGUAGGCUAUUUGGCUAGAUACUCAGGUGCUAUGUGAUACCAUUUCAUAAACAACUUGUUGAUUAUGUUUUGUCUAUUGCAUACUCGCUUGUACUAUCAUACCUACGCUUAGGAUGUUGAGUAGCGACAUACGCACA